This 465-nucleotide ribosomal RNA is filed under the name uncultured bacterium. RNAcentral's name for it is "partial 16S ribosomal RNA". It matches the Rfam family "Bacterial small subunit ribosomal RNA", at positions 339 to 795 of the family's 1533-position model. The record is from RNAcentral.
CUACGGGAGGCACCAGUGGGGAAUAUUGGACAAUGGGGGAAACCCUGAUCCAGCAAUGCCGCGUGUGUGAAGAAGGCCUGCGGGUUGUAAAGCACUUUCGGUUGGGAGGACUGCUUCUAGCACUAAUAUUGUUGGAAGUUGACGUUACCUUCAGAAGAAGCACCGGCUAACUCGCGGGCCAGCAGCCGCGGUAAUACGGAGGGUGCAAGCGUAAUCGGAAUUACUGGGCGUAAAGCGCGCGUAGGCGGCUAGAUCAGUCGGGUGUGAAAGCCCCGGGCUUAACCUGGGAACUGCAUCCGAUACUGUCUAGCUUGAGUACAGGAGAGGAGAGUGGAAUUCCACAUGUAGCGGUGAAAUGCGUAGAUAUGUGGAGGAACACCAAUGGCGAAGGCAGCUCUCUGGCCUGAUACUGACGCUGAGGUGCGAAAGCGUGGGGAGCAAACAGGAUUAGAUACCCCUGUAGUC